GGGGAUCUUACCGGGUCCGGACACACUGAGGAUUGACAGACGGUUAUUGACUUAUACUCGCUUAAUGGCUUUAAGCUGUUAAGUGUUUAACACCUUUACACAAAGAUGCUAGUCCUUUCAUGAUCGUUUGAUAGGUGGUGCAUGGCCGUUCUUAGUUCGUGGAGUGAUCUGUCUGCCUAAUUGCGUUUCACUAAGGUCCCAUUCUUCAUACGUAUGAAUAGCGUCUUAACUCACUUUUACCGCUACCUAUUUGUAGUAAGCGCUCAUACUAUUGGGACCGGAAUGCAACGAGCGCGACUGCACCACCUAAUUGCCCCUUAUCUACCAUUAAUUACUUUAUUAACCGCCCUGUACGGGCACCGGGGCCUUACCUUUACUGAAACUAGCUGGACCGCUGCUUUCCUUUAAGCCAGAGGAAGGUUGCGGCAAUAACAGGUCUGUGAUGCCCUCAGAUGUCCCGGGCUA
This 465-nucleotide ribosomal RNA is filed under the name Globorotalia truncatulinoides. Its description in RNAcentral is "bacterial SSU rRNA". It matches the Rfam family "Eukaryotic small subunit ribosomal RNA", at positions 1208 to 1488 of the family's 1831-position model. Lineage: Eukaryota; Foraminifera; Rotaliida; Globorotaliidae. The record is from RNAcentral.